Molecule: unclassified non-coding RNA, 308 nt
Filed under: plant metagenome
Description: partial contains 5.8S ribosomal RNA, internal transcribed spacer 2, and large subunit ribosomal RNA
Rfam family: 5.8S ribosomal RNA (bases 1-105)
Source: RNAcentral
GAAAUGCGAUAAGUAGUGUGAAUUGCAGAAUUCAGUGAAUCAUCGAAUCUUUGAACGCACAUUGCGCCCCUUGGUAUUCCAUGGGGCAUGCCUGUUCGAGCGUCAUUGUACCCUCAAGCUCUGCUUGGUGUUGGGUGUUUGUCCCGUCUCCGCGCGUGGACUCGCCCCAAAGUGAUUGGCAGCCGGCGUACUGGUCCCGGAGCGCAGCACAUGUCGCGCAAACGAGUGCCUUGGUACGGCGGCGUCCAUAAGCCCCUCUCUCACGCUCUUGACCUCGGAUCAGGUAGGGAUACCCGCUGAACUUAAGC